UUGAUCCUGGCUCAGGACGAACGCUAGCGGCUGUGCCUAAGGUAUGCAAGUCGAACGGCCCGCAAGGGUAGUGGCGAACGGUCGCGUAACACGUAGACAACCUGCCUCCCAGUGGGGGAUACCCGCUCGAAAGGGCGGUUAAUACCGCAUACGGUGGGGAAGCGCCUGCUUUCCUGACCAAAGGCGCAAGUCGCUGGGAGAUGGGUCUGCGGCCUAUCAGCUAGCUGGUGGGGUAACGGCCUACCAGGGCGACGACGGGUAGCUGGCCUGAGAGGAUGAUCAGCCGGACGGGGACUGAGACACGGCCCCGACUCCUUCGGGAGGCAGCAAUGAGGAAUAUUGCGCAAUGGGCGAAAGCCUGACGCAGCGACGCCGCGUGGGUGAGGAAGUCCUUCGGGAUGUAAAGCCCUUUUCUCGGGGACGAAGCGGACGGUACCCGAGGAAGAAGCCCCGGCUAACUACGUGCCAGCAGCCGCGGUAAUACGUAGGGGGCAAGCGUUGUCCGGAUUUACUGGGCGUAAAGCGCGCGUAGGUGGAACGUUCAGUCCGGUCUGAAAGCCCCCGGCUCAACCGGGGAGGGUGGCUGGAAACUGGCGUUCUUGAGGGCGAGAGAGGAGGGUGGAAUUCCUGGUGUAGCGGUGAAAUGCGUAGAGAUCAGGAGGAACACCCGUGGCGAAGGCGGCCCUCUGGCUCGACCCUGACGCUGAGGCGCGAAAGCGUGGGGAGCGAACGGGAUUAGAUACCCCGGGUAGUCCAACGCCGUAAAACAAUGGUCAAUAGGUUGUGUGCCGGUAUCGACCCCGCACGUUGCCGGCCGCCAACGCAAUAAGUUNACCCGCUUGGGGAAUUACGGCGCAAGGUUGAAAUCAAGGAAUUGACCGGGCCCGCACAACGGUGGAGCAUGUGGAUUAAUACGUCACUAACCAUAGAACCUUACCCAGGCUUGAAUCUCGGAAAGCGGGUGAAAGCUCCCCGUGCCCCGCAAGGGGAACCGCAAGACAGGUGUUGCAUGGCUGUCGUCAGCUCGUGUCGUGAGAUGUUGGGUUAAGUCCCGCAACGAGCGCAACCCUCACCGUCUGUUGCCAGCAUUCAGUUGGGCACUCUGACGGAACUGCCCGGGUAACACGGGAGGAAGGUGGGGAUGACGUCAAGUCAGCAUGGCCCGUACGCCUGGGGCUUCACACAUGCUACAAUGGCCGGUACAAAGGGUCCCGAGCCCCCGAGGGGGAGGCAAUCCCAAAAAGCCGGUCUCAGUUCGGAUCGCAGGCUGCAACUCGCCUGCGUGAAGCGGAAUCGCUAGUAACCGCCGGUCAGCUAAACGGCGGUGAAAUACGUUCCCGGGCCUUGUACACACCNCCCG
This 1360-nucleotide ribosomal RNA is filed under the name uncultured bacterium. RNAcentral describes it as "16S ribosomal RNA". It matches the Rfam family "Bacterial small subunit ribosomal RNA". The record is from RNAcentral.